Long non-coding RNA from Archocentrus centrarchus (flier cichlid), 1293 nucleotides. RefSeq lists it as uncharacterized. The transcript is spliced from 3 exons. Lineage: Eukaryota; Metazoa; Chordata; Actinopteri; Cichliformes; Cichlidae. The record is from RefSeq and is a predicted model, not a curated record.
GAGGCAGAGAGGUAAGGUUUACUACAGUCUCUCUGAUAUAUCUGAUUAAAACAUGUUUUAUGUCAUAUACUCUGUUAAAUAAUGCUUGAAUAAACAUUUAUAACGUGAGUAUCUGCAUGACCUGUGUGUUUCACUGGAUUGGAAGUUUUAAACAAGGUAAAGAUUUUUAAAGUAGGACUGGAAAACAGAUCCCAACAAGACUCCUACUAUUGAUCUGAUUGAUGUGAUCUGCUGUUCCAUUGUGGAGAAGCUGCUCAGUAUUACAGGAUUCACAGCUAUUAUUAUGGAUCCUGGUAUAGAAAUGAUUUUCAGGCUCUGUGAUCAGUGCACUCAAAGAGUUUUAGUCCCAAAUCCUCAUUUUCACUCUUCAUUUAUGGACAGAGUUCAUUUGGAGCAAACAGAACAAAGUGAUUAUUGUUCCAUUGUUAUAUGGAUAGUAGACUGUUGUGGCUUCCUGAUGGGAAAUGAUGGUUUGGAUGAAGCUCUCAUAAUUGUGAACAUUUGUGAUAUUUGUCCAAAGCUCAAAGUUCUUUAAUGAUCACAGCUUUUUGUCCUUCAGCUGCUCCUGUAACUUUGAUCUUGCACUUUGAUCCAUGUUGAUUGAAUGUGGUUUUGUCUCCUUAGUAUUGGUGCUUGUGGUGUUGUGUCUGCAUGUUUCUUUGUCAGAGGCUCAUUUGUGUCUGCAUUGGUUCCUUUCAGCUUCUUUCUUUGUCUUGGAAGCUCCUUUUUUGCUUCCUGACAUCUUUGAGCUGCUUGACUUUGUCACACAGCUUGUGUUUAAGGGCCUUCGUGAUUGAGCAGCUCUGCAGUAAUCAGGCCUGAGUGUGGCAGUGAGACUGAAGUCAGCUUUCCAACAAUCUGCUUCAUCACAGUUCAUUGAUCAUUGAAGACGAGGGGAAAUGAGUUUUUCCCACAGGGCAGUUGCUGCUGUUGCAGAGAAUUUCCAGCCCACGAGGUUUCUGAGCGCAGCGGAGUCACGUGACUGCGAAGCAACAAACCACAGCAGAGCAAGAAGGAGGGGGCGGAGCAAAGUGCGGCUGCGUGUUGGAGGAGCAAAGAGCGAGCUGCUUUUUCCUGAAGAAGUGAACUUAGAGGAGAAACAAACUAAAGCAUCGAUCCAACAUCACUACCAACGUUUGUAUCGAUACUAUUGAUACUUGGAUCGAUCCGCGCACCCUGAUCUCCUGGAUCUGACCUGAGAACAGCGUUAAUCUCUGUCUGUGGGCUCAGCUAAAGCUGAUUAUCAGGAGGAGGAGAGUCUGACGGAGCAGCAGAGGAACAUUUUCAGCCUCU